Molecule: long non-coding RNA, 674 nt
Filed under: Mustela putorius furo (domestic ferret)
Lineage: Eukaryota; Metazoa; Chordata; Mammalia; Carnivora; Mustelidae
Description: lncRNA (ENSMPUG00000026758.1)
Source: RNAcentral
GGAAUGUGCCCCCCGCCCGCCCUGCUGCUGACGCCGGGCCUUUGUGCUGGGCCGGAAUGUCUUCCUGUCUUUCUCUGCCUGUGUUUUCCCCGGAUGCUGUGGGCUGAGCUGAGUUGCAUCCCAGGGGCCGCCUGGCCAAGAGCUGUGUCCGGCGUCCCAGGGGCGGGAGGAGGGGGGCAGCACCGGCUCCAGGCGAGCUGUGAUUUAAUAAGCAGACACUUAAGGCCCUGAUGCAGGGCCCAGCCCAUGCGGGACAGCCCUCUCCGCUAAUUGUCCAUUGGCUGCCGCCCGCCGUCCUGCCGGCGUCUCUGGGCUCAUUAGGAAAGGGAAGAGGGGGGUCUGGGAAGAGCCUCCUGCAGCUCCAGCGGGCUUCCGAGAUUUUUAUCACACUGGACAGCACAGUUACAUUCAUUCUGCUAAAGGAGGAUCAAAACAAGAGGUCAGCAAACUAUGGCCCAUGGAUCCAGUGCGGCCCACCACCUACUUUCACAGAGUGCAGAGGGUAAGAAUGGCUUUACAUUUUAAAUGGUUGGGGGGAAAAAGCGGAAGAAUGUUUUGCGGCAUGUGAAAAUUAUAUGAAAUUCAAAUUUCAGUGUCUGUAGGUAACGUCUGAUUGAAAGUCAGCCACACCCAUUCAUUUGUAUAUUGUCUAUGGUUGCUUUCACUGCAGUAAC